CCUACGGGAGGCAGCAGUAAGGAAUAUUGGUCAAUGGGCGCAAGCCUGAACCAGCCAUGCCGCGUGCAGGAGGACUGCCUAUGGGUUGUAAACUGCUUUUAUACGGGAAUAUGUACCGUAAGAAUAAGGAUCGGCUAACUCCGUGCCAGCAGCCGCGGUAAUACGGAGGAUCCAAGCGUUAUCCGGAUUUAUUGGGUUUAAAGGGUGCGUAGGCGGCAUGCUAAGUCAGGGGUGAAAGACGGUGGCUCAACCGUCGCAGUGCCUUUGAUACUGGCAUGCUUGAAUUCGGAUGAGGUAGGCGGAAUGUGGCAAGUAGCGGUGAAAUGCAUAGAUAUGCCACAGAACACCGAUUGCGAAGGCAGCUUACCAAGGCGUAUUGACGCUGAUGCACGAAAGCGUGGGGAUCAAACAGGAUUAGAUACCCGAGUAGUC
RNAcentral lists this ribosomal RNA (432 nucleotides) under uncultured bacterium. Its description in RNAcentral is "partial 16S ribosomal RNA". It matches the Rfam family "Bacterial small subunit ribosomal RNA", at positions 338 to 795 of the family's 1533-position model. The record is from RNAcentral.